Molecule: ribosomal RNA, 429 nt
Filed under: uncultured archaeon
Lineage: Archaea
Description: bacterial SSU rRNA
Rfam family: Archaeal small subunit ribosomal RNA
Source: RNAcentral
UACCUGCAGCUCGAGUGGUAACCGCUAUUAUUGGGCCUAAAGCGUCCGUAGCCGGUUUGGUAAAUAUCUGGGUAAAUCGUGAGGCUUAACUUCACGAAUUUCGGAUAGACUGCCAGACUUGGGAUCGGGGGAGGUCAGAGGUACUCCAGGGGUAGCGGUGAAAUGUUGUAAUCCUUGGAGGACCACCGGUAGCGAAGGCGUCUGACUAGAACGAGUCCGACGGUGAGGGACGAAGCCCUGGGGCGCAAACCGGAUUAGAUACCCGGGUAGUCCAGGGUGUAAACUAUGUGGGCUUUGUAUUGGAGGUCCCACGUGGGCGUCCAGUGCAGAAGAGAAGUUGUUAAGCCCACCGCCUGGGAAGUACGGUCGCAAGGCUGAAACUUAAAGGAAUUGGCGGGGGAGCACAGCAACGGGAGGAGUGUGCGGUUU